UUUGUUUUGUUUUUGGCAUUG
This 21-nucleotide non-coding RNA is filed under the name Caenorhabditis elegans. The record is from RNAcentral. Lineage: Eukaryota; Metazoa; Nematoda; Chromadorea; Rhabditida; Rhabditidae.